RNAcentral lists this long non-coding RNA (323 nucleotides) under Triticum aestivum (bread wheat). Its description in RNAcentral is "long non-coding RNA (TAES_LNC022435)". Lineage: Eukaryota; Viridiplantae; Streptophyta; Magnoliopsida; Poales; Poaceae. The record is from RNAcentral.
UCUACACAAAUCCUGAUGAAGGAAUGAUCCGGUGAUACAAAACUCAAUGUCAUAUACUGGUCAUGCAACCCAAAUUCGAAUUGGUUUCUGGUCCUGGUCAGAGACCACCGUGUUCGCGCCGCGCCGGCGGUCGGCGGUCCAACAAAGAGGCAAAGACACAAGGCUCGCAGGACUCAGCGCCGUGAAACAAUUGCAAAGGAUUUUGUUUCCUAGGUCAAACAAUUAUCAAUCUAUGCUAGCACAGCAGAUGCAGAACAAAUAAGGAAAACAGAAACCCAAAAAAUAAGAUCAGAGGAAUAUGAAAGGAGAGAAUGUACUAUAUU